CAAUCUUGUACUGCGUAGAUGGUGACAUCCUCAAUGCAAUUAUUUUGCGUAAUUAACAUUUCAUAAUGCUCAAAUUACCUGCAUCUAAACUAUGAGCCCAGGACAUACAUGCCCCUGUCAGAUUAAUGCACGUUAAUGUCCCAAGCUGCACCUGCUACAAAUUUCAUGACAGCAGCUGAAAUAGCUGCCGCCCAGGUCUGUAAUUUCCACUAAUCUCAGGCAGCAUUGUAACAUGUAUGUCCCAGUAGUGCUAUUACAGUAACGCACACUUCCCUUAACCCCAAACACUGAACAUUUAAAGUACUCAUCUCAAUUAGGUCUUAAUGGAGUCUCUGGGUAAAGUCUUACUUUACGUUAUUAAAAUGAUUUUCAAUGGUUUUACUGCCCCUUCUUUGCUUGUCCACCAUACUGAGAAGAGAACGGAAUCAUUGAGAAGCAUUGGGCCACAAUAAGAGCAUUAGAUGACAGUUUCCACCAAUCACCGGCCGGUU
Non-coding RNA from Pelobates cultripes (western spadefoot toad), 491 nucleotides. Lineage: Eukaryota; Metazoa; Chordata; Amphibia; Anura; Pelobatidae. The record is from the annotation of a GenBank genome assembly.